This 450-nucleotide ribosomal RNA is filed under the name uncultured bacterium. RNAcentral describes it as "partial 16S ribosomal RNA". It matches the Rfam family "Bacterial small subunit ribosomal RNA", at positions 354 to 796 of the family's 1533-position model. The record is from RNAcentral.
GUGGGGAAUUUUGGACAAUGGGCGCAAGCCUGAUCCAGCAAUGCCGCGUGCAGGAAGAAGGCCUUCGGGUUGUAAACUGCUUUUGUACGGAACGAAAAGGCUCUGGUUAAUACCUGGGGCUCAUGACGGUACCGUAAGAAUAAGCACCGGCUAACUACGUGCCAGCAGCCGCGGUAAUACGUAGGGUGCAAGCGUUAAUCGGAAUUACUGGGCGUAAAGCGUGCGCAGGCGGUUUUGUAAGACAGAGGUGAAAUCCCCGGGCUCAACCUGGGAAUUGCCUUUGUGACUGCAAGGCUGGAGUGCGGCAGAGGGGGAUGGAAUUCCGCGUGUAGCAGUGAAAUGCGUAGAUAUGCGGAGGAACACCGAUGGCGAAGGCAAUCCCCUGGGCCUGCACUGACGCUCAUGCACGAAAGCGUGGGGAGCAAACAGGAUUAGAAACCCCAGUAGUCC